Molecule: ribosomal RNA, 292 nt
Filed under: uncultured bacterium
Lineage: Bacteria
Description: partial 16S ribosomal RNA
Rfam family: Bacterial small subunit ribosomal RNA
Source: RNAcentral
GUGCCAGCCGCCGCGGUAAGACAGAGGUGCCGAGCGUUAGGCGGAAUCACUGGGCUUAAAGCGUGUGUAGGCGGACCGUUAAGUACCUUGUGAAAUCCUGCGGCUCAACCGCAGAACCGCUGGGUAUACUGGCGGUCUUGAGGCACCCAGGGGCUGUCGGAACAAGCGGUGGAGCGGUGAAAUGCGUAGAUAUCGCUUGGAACGCCGGCGGUGAAAACGGACAGCUGGGGGUGUGCUGACGCUGAGACACGAAAGCCAGGGGAGCGAACGGGAUUAGAUACCCUAGUAGUCC